Sturnus vulgaris (Common starling) is the source of this 87-nucleotide non-coding RNA. The record is from RefSeq and is a predicted model, not a curated record. NCBI's taxonomy places the organism in Eukaryota, Metazoa, Chordata, Aves, Passeriformes, Sturnidae.
ACGACCAGAGGGAUGGAACAGCUCUGCUGGGAGGAAAGGCUGGGACAAUUGGGAUUGUUCAUCCUGGAAAAGAGAAGGGUUUGGGGU